Molecule: long non-coding RNA, 374 nt
Organism: Amphimedon queenslandica
Lineage: Eukaryota; Metazoa; Porifera; Demospongiae; Haplosclerida; Niphatidae
Exons: 2
Source: RefSeq, a predicted model, not a curated record
UAAUAACAACCUUAUAUACUGUAUACAUUAUACAUAUUGUGUGUACUAUUAUCUCAAGCAUGCCUGGCCGGCUGACAUGGUCUGAAUACAUCACUUUCGCUUUUGUUGCCUUUUCCUCCAUGUUCCUGGGUGCCACUUUUGUACACAGGAUCUAUAAGCCAAACCUGACUAUCCCAGAUGAUCCACCAUCACUAGAAGGCAAAGAAUCUAAACUGAUUGGCAUCAAAAAAAGACCGUCAUAAACAAUCAUGUAUCGUUUGUACUCUUGUACAUGUGUACUCCAUGUAGAGGCUACUCAAUGCGUGUAUGUGUGCAUAUAGACAUGGUUGAAUGUGCCUAUGUGGCUUUGUACGUCAACAUUGCUUCAUUACUGA